RNAcentral lists this ribosomal RNA (484 nucleotides) under uncultured bacterium. RNAcentral describes it as "partial 16S ribosomal RNA". It matches the Rfam family "Bacterial small subunit ribosomal RNA", at positions 28 to 507 of the family's 1533-position model. The record is from RNAcentral.
AUUGAACGCUGGCGGCAUGCUUUACACAUGCAAGUCGAACGGCAGCGCGGGCUUCGGCCUGGCGGCGAGUGGCGAACGGGUGAGUAAUGCAUCGGAACGUGCCCAGUAGUGGGGGAUAGCCCGGCGAAAGCCGGAUUAAUACCGCAUACGACCUGAGGGUGAAAGCGGGGGACCGAAAGGCCUCGCGCUAUUGGAGCGGCCGAUGUCGGAUUAGCUAGUUGGUGGGGUAAAGGCUUACCAAGGCGACGAUCCGUAGCUGGUCUGAGAGGACGACCAGCCACACUGGGACUGAGACACGGCCCAGACUCCUACGGGAGGCAGCAGUGGGGAAUUUUGGACAAUGGGGGCAACCCUGAUCCAGCCAUGCCGCGUGCGGGAAGAAGGCCUUCGGGUUGUAAACCGCUUUUGUUCGGGAAGAAAUCCUGUGGGCUAAUACCCCGGGGGGAUGACGGUACCGGAAGAAUAAGCACCGGCUAACUACGUG